AUGGAUUAUAUGAAGCAUUUGACAAAGGUGAAAAUAUGGUAUGAGUCUUACGCCGAUGCCAGCAGCACAAGUACUCUCUCAAAGGCCAUCAAGGGGUUCAUCGAGAGAGGCACCAAUUCUACAACUUCAGUUGCACUCUCACUCAUUCUCAGUGGUGAAGGGUCUCAAGACUUGCUGAAUUUCUCAUUGGAAAAUGACAAGUUCUAUCUUAGGUCACUCAAGCUACAAGGGGGCAAUAUAUUCAGCCUCCCUCCCUUUGUUACCAUGCUGGUUGGUUUUAAUAAACUGUGCCUUUCAUUCCCUCAUCAGCUGAGUAGUGAUAUUAUUGCUGCCCUGAGCGAAAUGCGCAGCCUGACACAGCUGAAGCUGACUGCAACUCAACUGGAGAAGCACAUCAUCGGACAAGGUGAAUUCAGAAUCCUGCAACACCUAAGCAUCACGGUGGACGUGAUGACUGAGCUGGAAAUCCAAGAUGGAGCUCUGUCUUGCCUCAAGUCACUCCGGCUGCUAUGUAAAGAUCUAGAUGGCUUUUCCGGCACAUCAGCGAUCCAGUACUUUAAACAACUUGAGGAGAUUGCUCUUCAUCGUGAAGUGGGUGGUGACACAAAACAGAAAUGGAAAGAAGCAGCAAGGAAACACCCGAGAUGUCCCAAGAUCUUGUUUGUCUAG
This 669-nucleotide ribosomal RNA is filed under the name Triticum aestivum (bread wheat). Its description in RNAcentral is "partial small subunit ribosomal RNA". The record is from RNAcentral. Lineage: Eukaryota; Viridiplantae; Streptophyta; Magnoliopsida; Poales; Poaceae.